This 859-nucleotide ribosomal RNA is filed under the name Unio tumidus. RNAcentral describes it as "12S ribosomal RNA". The record is from RNAcentral. Lineage: Eukaryota; Metazoa; Mollusca; Bivalvia; Unionida; Unionidae.
AAAUAUUUCAUUGAUGUAUAAAAUUAGCUAUACCAAUUAAACUACAUAUGGCAGCCUACACGCAUUGUGUACACUAGAUCAAUCUUAAUAAACUUUUAAAAAGUUUAUCAUUAAGAAUAAUCUAACAAACAUUUAUUUAUUAAUGUUAAAAUUUCUCACAACACCAAUGUACUAUAUUAUACUAGCUAGGAAACUAGGCCCUAGAAAAUAAGUAAAAGGGGUGGCAAAAAUGGUGCCAGCAGUCGCGGUUAUACCAGUACCCCAAGUUAAUUUCAACAAAUUGAGAUAGUUGCUAACUUUUCAUGACUACAAGAUUAAUUUUUAAUGUAAAAAAUAAAUCAAAACUAAACCCAACCUAGUCACACUAUACAGCUACCUCAACAAACCACAACCUUAAAACUCGGAUUAGAUACCCGACUACUAUGUGGCCCAACAUAAAAAAGAAUACUACGAGCGAAAGCUUAAACCUCAAACAAUGUGGCGGUGCUUUACUCCUUAUCAGGGGAUCCUGUGGCUUAAUUCGAUAAUCCACGAUAAAUCUAAGCUACCCUCGCAUUUCAGCUUGUGUAUGGCCGUUUAUGCUUGCUCAUAAAAGAAAAAAAAGGAAGCAAUAGAACUAAUCAUUCGACAAUUCAGGUGACAUACAGCCAAUGGGAAGCAGACCUAUGGGAUACAAAUAAAUACACUAACAAAUUCAAAGCUUUAAACUUUAAUGAAGGAGGACUUGAAAGUAAGACUUAAUACUUACAUAAAAUAGGUCUGAAUAAGAACUAAAGCGCGCACAAAUCGCCCGUCACUCCGACAAUAAAGUAGGAUAAGUCGUAACAUAGUAGGGGUAAUGGAAAUUGCCCCUAUAACA